This 1675-nucleotide ribosomal RNA is filed under the name Oreichthys crenuchoides. Its description in RNAcentral is "16S ribosomal RNA". It matches the Rfam family "Bacterial large subunit ribosomal RNA". Lineage: Eukaryota; Metazoa; Chordata; Actinopteri; Cypriniformes; Cyprinidae. The record is from RNAcentral.
GCUAAAUAGCUAGCUUAACCGUCUAUAUUAACCAAACAAUAUAACUGAAAUAAAAUUGACAAAACACAAAAAAUUAAACCAUUCUUUUACCUUAGUAUGGGAGACAGAAAAGGUUCUAUAUUUUAAGCGAUAGAAAAAGUACCGCAAGGGAAAGCUGAAAGAGAAAUGAAAUAAUUUAUACAAGCACGAAAAAGCAAAGAUUAAAUCUUGUACCUUUUGCAUCAUGAUUUAGUUAGUAAACAUCAAGCAAAGAGACCUUUAGUUUGAAACCCCGAAACCAGAUGAGCUACCCCGAGACAGCCUAUUAGGGCCAACCCGUCUCUGUGGCAAAAGAGUGGGAAGAGCUCCGGGUAGAAGUGAUAGACCUACCGAAUCUGGUGAUAGCUGGUUGCCUAAGAAAUGGAUAGAAGUUCAGCCUCAUUUUACCUCAAAUCAAAAUAUACAAUUAAGAUAUCAGGAGAUACAUAUGAGAGUUAGUUUAAGGAGGUACAGCCCCUUAAACAAAGGAUACAACCUUUUCAGGAGGAAAAAGAUCAUAAUAUAUAAAAUACCCUGUUCUAGUGGGCCCAAAAGCAGCCACCUAAAUAGAAAGCGUCAAAGCUCAGACAGAAAGAAAUUUAUUAUACCGAUAAUAAAUCUUAUUCCCCUAGAUAGUAUUAGGCCAGUUCAUGCCAACAUGAAAGAGAUUAUGCUAAAAUGAGUAACAAGAAGGCUCAGCCCUUCUCCUAGCACAAGUGUAAGCCAAACCGGACUAACCAUUGGCAAUUAACGAACUCAACCAAAGAGAGCAGUGUGAAUUUUUAACCCAAGAAAGAUCCACAACAAGACAUCGUUUUCCCCACACUGGAGUGCCCCAAAGGAAAGACUAAAAGAAAAGGAAGGAACUCGGCAAACAUAAGCCUCGCCUGUUUACCAAAAACAUCGCCUCCUGCAACAUAAGUAAGUAUUGGAGGUCCAGCCUGCCCAGUGACCACAAGUUUAACGGCCGCGGUAUUUUAACCGUGCAAAGGUAGCGCAAUCACUUGUCUUUUAAAUAAAGACCUGUAUGAAUGGCCAAACGAGGGCUUAACUGUCUCCCUCUUCCAGUCAGUGAAAUUGAUUUAUCCGUGCAGAAGCGGGUAUAAUAAUACAAGACGAGAAGACCCUUUGGAGCUUAAGGUACAAAUUUUAAUCGUGUCAAACAACUCAAUAAAAAGUAAAAACCUUACGAAACAUAAAAUAUUACCUUCGGUUGGGGCGACCACGGAGUAGAAAAAAACCUUCAAGUGGAAGGGGAUUUUAAUCCUAAAACCAAGAGAAACAUCUCUAAGCCACAGAACAUCUGACCAAUAAUGAUCCGGUAAUUUAUUGCCGAUCAACGAACCAAGUUACCCUAGGGAUAACAGCGCAAUCCUCUCCCAGAGCCCAUAUCGACGAGAGGGUUUACGACCUCGAUGUUGGACCAGGACACCCUAAUGGUGCAGCCGCUAUUAAGGGUUCGUUUGUUCAACGAUUAAAGUCCUACGUGAUCUGAGUUCAGACCGGAGCAAUCCAGGUCAGUUUCUAUCUGUAACGCUACUUUUCCUAGUACGAAAGGACCGGAAAAAGGGGGCCCAUACCACAAGUAUGCCCCACCUCUAAUUUAUGAAAACAAAUAAAUAAAACAAAGAGAGAGCUAAAAUACCUUAUAACCAAA